AAUUACCCGGGGAAAAGUUUAACAAGGAUUCCCCUAGUAACGGCGAGUGAAGAGGGAAGAGCUCAAAUUUGAAAGCUGGUACCUUCGGUAUCCGCGUUGUAACCUCGAGACACGUUUUCCGUGCGGCGCUAUGGACAAGUUCCUUGGAACAGGACAUCGUAGAGGGUGAAAAUCCCGUACUUGCCAUGGAUGUACCGUGCUUUGCGAUACGUGCUCUAAGAGUCGAGUUGUUUGGGAUUGCAGCUCAAAAUGGGUGGUAGACUCCAUCUAAAGCUAAAUAUCGGGGAGAGACCGAUAGCGAACAAGUACCGUGAGGGAAAGAUGAAAAGCACUUUGGAAAGAGAGUUAAAAGUACGUGAAAUUGUCGAAAGGGAAGCGCUUGAAGUCAGCCAUGCCGCUCAGGACUCAGCCUGGCUUUUGCUUGGUGUAUUUCCUGGGUAGCAAGUCAGCAUUGGUUUGGAUCGUCGGAGAAGCAUAGUCGGAAUGUGGCGCCCUCGGGCGUGUUAUAGCCUUCUAUUGGAUACGACGAUCUAGACCAAGGAACGCAGCGCGCCUUAUGGCGGGUCUUCGGACACCUUCGCGCUUAGGAUGCUGGCGUAAUGGCUUUAAGUGGCCCGUCUUGAAACCCGGGACCACUUAAGCC
This 643-nucleotide ribosomal RNA is filed under the name Malassezia furfur. RNAcentral describes it as "LSU rRNA". It matches the Rfam family "Eukaryotic large subunit ribosomal RNA", at positions 45 to 664 of the family's 3401-position model. The record is from RNAcentral. Lineage: Eukaryota; Fungi; Basidiomycota; Malasseziomycetes; Malasseziales; Malasseziaceae.